Molecule: non-coding RNA, 65 nt
Organism: Dipodomys ordii (Ord's kangaroo rat)
Lineage: Eukaryota; Metazoa; Chordata; Mammalia; Rodentia; Heteromyidae
Source: Rfam
GGUGGCUCAUUGGUAGAGUGCUUGCCUUGCAUGCAUGAGGCCCUGGGUUCAAUUCCUCAGCACCA